This 23-nucleotide non-coding RNA is filed under the name Cricetulus griseus (Chinese hamster). The record is from RNAcentral. Lineage: Eukaryota; Metazoa; Chordata; Mammalia; Rodentia; Cricetidae.
AGUGUCAAAUACGGACUAAACUG